GACGAACGCUGGCGGCGUGCUUAACACAUGCAAGUCGAGCGAUGAAGUUCCUUCGGGAACGGAUUAGCGGCGGACGGGUGAGUAACACGUGGGUAACCUGCCUCAUAGAGGGGAAUAGCCUUCCGAAAGGAAGAUUAAUACCGCAUAAGAUUGUAGCUUCGCAUGAAGUAGCAAUUAAAGGAGUAAUCUGCUAUGAGAUGGACCCGCGUCGCAUUAGCUAGUUGGUGAGGUAACGGCUCACCAAGGCGACGAUGCGUAGCCGACCUGAGAGGGUGAUCGGCCACAUUGGGACUGAGACACGGCCCAGACUCCUACGGGAGGCAGCAGUGGGGAAUAUUGCACAAUGGGGGAAACCCUGAUGCAGCAACGCCGCGUGAGUGAUGACGGUCUUCGGAUUGUAAAACUCUGUCUUCAGGGACGAUAAUGACGGUACCUGAGGAGGAAGCCACGGCUAACUACGUGCCAGCAGCCGCCGUAA
Molecule: ribosomal RNA, 478 nt
Filed under: uncultured bacterium
Lineage: Bacteria
Description: partial 16S ribosomal RNA
Rfam family: Bacterial small subunit ribosomal RNA
Source: RNAcentral